Molecule: ribosomal RNA, 253 nt
Filed under: uncultured bacterium
Lineage: Bacteria
Description: partial 16S ribosomal RNA
Rfam family: Bacterial small subunit ribosomal RNA
Source: RNAcentral
UACGUAGGGUGCAAGCGUUAAUCGGAAUUACUGGGCGUAAAGCGUGCGCAGGCGGUUGUGCAAGACCGAUGUGAAAUCCCCGGGCUCAACCUGGGAAUGGCAUUGGUGACUGCACGGCUAGAGUGUGUCAGAGGGGGGUAGAAUUCCACGUGUAGCAGUGAAAUGCGUAGAGAUGUGGAGGAAUACCGAUGGCGAAGGCAGCCCCCUGGGAUAACACUGACGCUGAGGAGCGAAAGCCAGGGGAGCAAACGGG